AAGGGGACUGAAAUCACCCAAAAGGGGCUUUCCACAUUGAAAUUCUCUUCUUCUGCUUCCUUUGAAGAGGACCGUAGGUAUAGCAUUAUUUCCACCUUUGUGGAAAUUUUAUCUUAAAAAGAGUCUUAUUAAAUAGUGUCCUGCUGGGAUUGACUUACAGAGAGGGGUUAUCUGAGCACUCCAGAGGGCUCUGAAAAUAGAAGAGGGAAAAAGCUUCAAUGAGGAAGAAAAUACACGUCUGCUUAUGAACGUUAAUGUGAAACAUCCCAGUGUGUUGGAGACACAGAUUUGUGGCCAUUGAACUCAUUUUCUCACUAAAAAUAUUCUAGUCAACUCCACAUAUUCUCCUCUCCUCACUUGUUUUUCCAAAAGCCUUCUAAAGAUUUUGUCUUUGAAACCAACUUUCUUUUCAUCUCCUGCUUUAUCAUCUUUGCUUUUGGGCUCAGUUUUUCUUUCUUAGUUUCAUUUUUUUGUGAGGCUGCCUCACAUGUAACCACUGCUGUGUCUGCCACUGAAAACACACACUGGUUGUGGAGGAAUCUCCAAGUACAAACUGUUGAGAACUUUUAUUUUCAUUUUAUUUCAUGUUCAACAGCUUGGGGAUCCCUUACUGAUCCCUGACCAUAUCAGUGUCCAAAGAGAUUGUACAAGCACUGCAUCAGAGAUAAGUUCAAUGCUAAUUUAGAGGCUCUGAUUGUGUCCUCUAGAUUCAGCUGCCACUCCCCACUGACCCAUGUGUGAGCCAAAGGGAAUAAAAGCUGGACAGGAAGGUGAUCCAGCCCGUGCCAUCAUUUGUCCUCUGCUACACUGGGAUGUCCAGGUGUAGAGGAACUCUGUGUGUCCUUCCCUUUAUCACUGGGGAGCCAGCAAACAGAGAAAAUACUGAUUUAUUUAAAAAGCCUUUCCCAGGCAGAGAUUGGCAACUGAAGAAAACAAAACCCAUGAUCACUUCUGCAUCCUUCAGUUAACCUCAAGAACAGAUUCCUCAUGUGGGAUGCUGUUCAGGGAGCUGCACCAAAGAGGAGAUUUCACUACAGAGCAAUCCCACCAGUGGGACUGGCCCUUGGUCAGUGUUAAGCCUGAAGUUAGCAUAAAACUGAAGAAAAGAGGGGUAAAAAUGCAACCACACUGCAGUGAUGAAGCUGCCAAUGCCAGAGCAGUGGAAUACAUCCCUUUUAGGGAUGGCUUCUUCCUUUUUAGGGAUGGUUUCUUCCCUUUCAGGGAUCAUUUCUUCCUGAGCUCACCAAUUCAGACAUCCUGGCCUGGUGACCUUGCAGAGAAACACCAUUUCCAUUUAAUAGAUCCCCAGGAUGUUCCCCAAGCUCCAGCCACCCCUUCUGCAGCACUCAGUGCUUGAAAAGCAGCUCAGGACCCCUGGCCUGUGCUGCAGAUGAACCAGAGCUUGUUUUUAACCAGCACAGCAGCACUGCACAUGGCUCUGUGAUGCUCUGUGCUUCUCAUUAGUGAUGGUGAAACCAAAUGCACCUUCUGGUGUGAGGGGAGGUGGAGGAAAGACAAUGUUAUUUCUGAAUCAAAUUCUUAUUUUUGCCUUUUUAUAAUUAAUUAAGAACACAGUCUCACUGGAGGCUGAAAAGCUUUGGCUGCAGUUUGCAUGGACAUACUGUAUGUGUCUGCCUGUCCAAAUAUUUCACCCUUACAUUUACAGUAUCUGGGCCUAUAAAAAUGAUGGCAAAAAGCCUAUUGAUUUCAUCUGAACAGGAGCCAGAAGAAGCUGAUUUUACCUGGACAGUGUUCUCUCACAGAUGUGGCUCAGUAAGAACUCAUGUUGUUGAAUUCAACAUAAAGCUAUGAACGCACAAUAAAAAAAAAAAAAAAAUCACAGUUCUGAGUCUUUUAUUUUCCUCUCUGCUUAAUCAACAGGAACAGAGAGAAGAUAACCUGUAAUAAAAGAUUUUUACCAUUUCUCCUGCACUUCUUUGUUGAGAUGAAACCACCUUUCACUCUGCAGGAGGGAGAGGGUAACACAGCACCCUAUCACUAUUAAUGAGACAUUUCCUUUGGUGAUGCUUUCACCACACCACUUUUGUAACUCUUGAAACACAAUCUGGACUGGAAAGCCUGGUGGAGUAGAAAGGUUGUUGUUCUGUAGGAAAGGAGAGUGAGGUACAAUUUCAGCCCUGGGGUACCAGAGCUUAUCUCAGGUGAUACCAGCAGAGGAGAUGUUGCUGUAAUUUCCUCGAAUGAAGUAAUUGGCAGAGGCACAUUAAUUAAUCACUGCAAUAACAACCUGCAGUGUGUGCAGCCACAGGGAAGCUGUGAGUGUGAGAGGAGACAGACAAGAGCUCUCCAGUUCUGUCCUGGAAAAUCCCAGAGGUCCCUGGGAGAUUCUGGGUACUCCCACAUCCCUCAGGAGGAGAAUUUUCAGGGUUCCAUGGAGGAUCUCGUGCCCCAGUCAACCUCGUACAUCAGGCUGAAUGGGAACUCUCCUCAGAGUUCAGAGAGCUCUGAACAUAAACUGGGGAUGUCUUUUCCUCCUUUCCCUUAAAGAGAGUGGAAGGGCAGAUCUGCCUGCGGAUUCAAAUCCAGAAAUUUGGGCCUAUCUGUGAAUUCAAUCCUUAGAACACGAAAAGUGCUCUGUUUAAUGAGAAAGUGGACUCUGUUUGUAUUCCAGCUCCCAAACCCCUGAUUCCAUCUAGACCACAUUUCCCUCACAAAGAACCUUUCAAAAUCAAAGAAUUUCAAAAAUCGCUGCUAUGAGUGGUCUGAGAAUCUGCAUAGUAAAGAAGUCCCCAAAUGAUCUGUCCUCAUUGCAGACUUGUUUGUGAGCUUGAAUUUCUUCCUCCAGCAAUGGGUCAAUUUUCACAUGCAUACAAAAAGAUCUUUUGUUUUCCCAAGUAUGUGUGAAUUUUGUGGAAUUCUUUUAGGAUACAGAAAAGCAUAUCUUUAUUUUUAACGUCUAACGUAACAGAGCCAGUUGUUUUGAAAACAUCCUCGCCUCUAACGUGUUCUUCAUUAGGAGAAUGUACUCCCAAACUGAAAUCAGUACCAGUUUUCAGUAAACCAUCCAGCAUGUUCUUGCCUUGACACCUGUUGGCGCAAAUGAUGUAGUGAAAUGUGAAUUUGGAGGAAUUAUUUGUGUAUAUUUGAGAGGAGUUGUAACUGGGUAGUAAUUCUGGCAACCUGCUCGUGCAGGCAGAGCUGCACAAAGACUGAACCCAGCCAAAGGGAGCACUGUGAUUAUUGCUGGGUCACUCUUGCAGGUCAGACUUACAAGUUGCAACCAAAUGAAAGAAAGAAGUGUCAGACUGGCACAGAAAUGUCACCAGGAGCAGCCCUGGGAGCAGUUAAGCCUAGGAAGGAAGUUUGCAGUGAAAGAUGUUCUGUUGUUUGCUGGGAUUUACAUUUCCAGUGAAGAUAAACCCCAGGAGGAUUUUGGCCUGUGUGAGGUGUUUGCAAGCUGCUGAAAGCAGAAUGGGGAACUUGCUCCACUAAGCAGAUUUUAAACUCACCAAAAAAUAUCUUUGGAAGAGGACUCUGAGAGGUGUGCACUGAUAUUAGGGAUGGUUGCAUUACCUGGGCAAUAAUUAAUUGGCAGUUGCCCUAAUUGGAUUCUUCUGAGCUCAGUUUGACCUUUAUUCACUAUCAUUUUGCCCAGGAUUUGCCGUGCAGAGUGACCAGUGAGCAGCUCCUCCCCUGGCCUGGUGUGCUGCCCCAGGGAUGGUUAAUCUGUCUUCAGCCUUUUGCCACUUGUUCUUGGUCUGUCCUGCUGUGCUCAGCAGACACCAGUUCAGCCUCCAGUAAAAUUCAUCUUCUCUCCUUACCCCCAGCCUGGGUCCCAGUUACAGCCUGGUGUCCCACCCCAGCAGGUUUUAAUUGGAUAAAAUUGUGAGUUGGAUCUCCUCUACAUCCCAGGUUUAACAAAUUUGCCUCACCUUGGGAAGCAGAUUAUCCAGGACUACCUGAUUUCAGGGUGAGUCUUUGCCCUGCUUUUGUGAGAACUGAGGCAGGUCCAUAAAACCAUUUCUGAGAGGGAUUCCAUGAAAAAUGUAUUUUAUAAAUGUGGGGAGGGCUUUCUUCAAUGCCCACUCUGCAGAAUCCAGCUGAUUCUGAAAUUAAAACUGCAAGUGCACUCGUGCCCAAACAGAGGAGAAUUAAUUACAUGUGCCACAAAGUAAAUAUAAUUACUCAGCCUUCUCAACUAGACACUUAUCCAGAUGACUCCUGGGUGAUGAUCUGUGGGCAUCAGCCACGAUUUCACAUCAGCACCACCAAGACACCUUGCAAGGAAUGAACAGUAUCCCCCUAGCAGUGGCCAGAUGGGUUCUGCUCCCAGCCACUCUUAAAUAUCCUCUUAGCUGACUGGGCCACCUCUUGUGCCAGAUUUGUACCCUCAGAGUGCAAUCUGGGUCACUGCUAUUAAUAACUGUGUUUUAUUCCGUUCUCUCAGGGUGCUCCUCAGUUCCUGACAGCGGCUCUUACCCAGCACGGUGUCUCCUCAAGCCUGGCCCCAAGGAGGGAAGAUGCUUUUGAUUAUCUGCAAGGUCACAGGCAUAAAAAGAAGAAAACAGUUCUGCUUUUAUCUCACUCCACUCAGAGGGAUUCAGUUGCAUAUCAAGAACAACUCAAAGUACUUGUCAAGAGAAUUUCUUCUGGACAGGAGAUCACCAUUGCUGUGACGUUCAGAAAUGCUUUGCAGGGGUUUAUGGACAAGGUUGCUCAGUAAAAGUGCAUCAAGCACCA
Molecule: non-coding RNA, 4701 nt
Organism: Cyanistes caeruleus (blue tit)
Lineage: Eukaryota; Metazoa; Chordata; Aves; Passeriformes; Paridae
Source: RefSeq, a predicted model, not a curated record